GAUGAACGCUGGCGGCGUGCCUAAUACAUGCAAGUCGAGCGAACAGACGAGGAGCUUGCUCCUCUGACGUUAGCGGCGGACGGGUGAGUAACACGUGGAUAACCUACCUAUAAGACUGGGAUAACUUCGGGAAACCGGAGCUAAUACCGGAUAAUAUAUUGAACCGCAUGGUUCAAUAGUGAAAGACGGUUUUGCUGUCACUUAUAGAUGGAUCCGCGCCGCAUUAGCUAGUUGGUAAGGUAACGGCUUACCAAGGCACCGAUGCGUAGCCGACCUGAGAGGGUGAUCGGCCACACUGGAACUGAGACACGGUCCAGACUCCUACGGGAGGCAGCAGUAGGGAAUCUUCCGCAAUGGGCGAAAGCCUGACGGAGCAACGCCGCGUGAGUGAUGAAGGUCUUCGGAUCGUAAAACUCUGUUAUUAGGGAAGAACAAAUGUGUAAGUAACUAUGCACGUCUUGACGGUACCUAAUCAGAAAGCCACGGCUAACUACGUG
RNAcentral lists this ribosomal RNA (497 nucleotides) under uncultured bacterium. RNAcentral's name for it is "partial 16S ribosomal RNA". It matches the Rfam family "Bacterial small subunit ribosomal RNA", at positions 28 to 507 of the family's 1533-position model. The record is from RNAcentral.